ACGGGAGUGGCAAGCGUUAUCCGGAAUUAUUGGGCGUAAAGCGUCCGCAGGCGGUCUUGUAAGUCUGUCGUUAAAGCGUGGAGCUUAACUCCAUUUCAGCGAUGGAAACUGCAAGACUAGAGUGUGGUAGGGGCAGAGGGAAUUCCCGGUGUAGCGGUGAAAUGCGUAGAUAUCGGGAAGAACACCAGUGGCGAAGGCGCUCUGCUGGGCCAUAACUGACGCUCAUGGACGAAAGCCAGGGGAGCGAAAGGGAUUAGAUACCCCUGUAGUCCUGGCCGUAAACGAUGAACACUAGGUGUCGGGGGAAUCGACCCCCUCGGUGUCGUAGCCAACGCGUUAAGUGUUCCGCCUGGGGAGUACGCACGCAAGUGUG
RNAcentral lists this ribosomal RNA (373 nucleotides) under uncultured bacterium. RNAcentral's name for it is "bacterial SSU rRNA". It matches the Rfam family "Bacterial small subunit ribosomal RNA", at positions 525 to 896 of the family's 1533-position model. The record is from RNAcentral.